AGAGUUUGAUCAUGGCUCAGAAUCAACGCUGGCGGCGCGCCUAACACAUGCAAGUCGCACGAGAAAGCGGGAGCAAUCUCGCAAGUAAAGUGGCGUACGGGUGAGUAACACGUGGAUCAUCUACCCUAGAGUGGGGAAUAACGCUGGGAAACCGGCGCUAAUACCGCAUAAUCCCGAGAGGGGAAAGCAGUAAUGCGCUCAAGGAGGAGUCCGCGGCCGAUUAGCUAGUUGGUAGGGUAAAAGCCUACCAAGGCUGUGAUCGGUAGCCGGCCUGAGAGGGCACACGGCCACACUGGCACUGAAACGCGGGCCAGACUCCUACGGGAGGCAGCAGUGGGGAAUCUUGCACAAUGGGGGAAACCCUGAUGCAGCGACGCCGCGUGAGCGAUGAAGCCCUUCGGGGUGUAAAGCUCUUUCGGCAGGGAAGAUUAUGACGGUACCUGCAGAAGCAGCUGCGGCUAACUACGUGCCAGCAGCCGCGGUAAUACGUAGGCAGCAAGCGUUGUUCGGAGUUACUGGGCGUAAAGGGUGUGUAGGCGGCCUGUUAAGUUCCGUGUGAAAUCUCCCGGCUCAACCGGGAGGGUGCGCGGAAAACUGGCGGGCUAGAGUGCGGGAUGGGAGAGUAGAAUUCCUGGUGUAGCGGUGAAAUGCGUAGAUAUCAGGAGGAAUACCUGUGGUGUAGACGGCUCUCUGGACCGCAACUGACGCUGAGACACGAAAGCGUGGGUAGCAAACAGGAUUAGAUACCCUAGUAGUCC
RNAcentral lists this ribosomal RNA (758 nucleotides) under uncultured bacterium. Its description in RNAcentral is "bacterial SSU rRNA". It matches the Rfam family "Bacterial small subunit ribosomal RNA", at positions 8 to 796 of the family's 1533-position model. The record is from RNAcentral.